CCUACGGGAGGCAGCAGUGGGGAAUUUUGGACAAUGGGGGCAACCCUGAUCCAGCAAUGCCGCGUGGGUGAAGAAGGCCUUCGGGUUGUAAAGCCCUUUGUCAGGGAAGAAAAGGAGGCGGCUAAUACCUUGUGGAAGACGGUACCGAAGAAUAGCACCGGCUACUUGG
RNAcentral lists this ribosomal RNA (169 nucleotides) under uncultured bacterium. RNAcentral's name for it is "partial 16S ribosomal RNA". It matches the Rfam family "Bacterial small subunit ribosomal RNA", at positions 338 to 504 of the family's 1533-position model. The record is from RNAcentral.